CCCAACGACUUUACCAAAAAAAAAAAAACACCCAACGCAAAACCCUAACCAUCUGAGCUUCCCAUUCGGCCGUUACAAGCCGCCCACACGAUUGAGACUUCCGAAGACGUAAAGAACAGAAGAAAAACCGGGGGAAAUCAAAGGAAGAAUCAACGAAAACAAAGGAUAAACGAACGAAAAAAAUUCAAAGUAUCAUUUCAGUAGUUAAUACAAUCCAACGGAUGAUAUAUGAUGCCCACUUAAAAAAAAAUUAGGAGAGGCAGCAUCCAGCCUGUCCUUCUGUCACCCUAGACAGGCCAAAAUUCCAAUCUUCCAGCUCCGCUGUGUUGUUAGAGAGAGCUGGGAGAGGGAGGAGAAGAACAGGAUGCUGAAGUUUUUGUCGAAGGUGAGGAUCGAGUGCAACCCCCUGGACCCACGGAAGACGGCGUGCAUGGAGCUGCUGGCGCAGUGCAAUGCGCGCAAGGCUAAGGAGUCAAACCCAGCAUGCCAGGUCGAGAUGCACCGCCGCACCGACGACCACCCCCCGCAGGUCGUCGUCACCUACGUCAACGGUGUCGAGGAGGCCAUCGAUGCUGCCUCCACUCCGGCCCAGGCCAUCCGCCAGCGCAUCCUCGACCGUGGCCAGCUCCUCGAGACUGAGCAGAUGUUUCGUGAGGCCGGCGAAUCCUGGCCCGUCAUCAUCCCCGAAAAGGAGCUCCACCAGAGCUUCCCAGGCAUCAAGGUGCAACUUUAAGAUUGUCAUGUGUCAGCAUUUGGAAAUGUAGGAAUGGAGCUCUCACAGGAUUGGAGGCUUCAUAAUAUGCUCACCAAAAAAAGCGGAAGAAAAGAGCCAGUAAUAGUGCAUUGUCAUUUUGGGAUGUCCUGUAGUUUGUCCAUGAGUGAGAUGUUAUUAGGCUUCUGCACUCCUUGAAGUCCGUUUUCUGGGAGACGUGUUCCUUAUGGCAUGUUUGAGCUUCUUAUUGCUGGCAGGACUUAUAAUUGGAAAUAUCUAAAUUAGAUAUCAUUUUGAUGUUAUUUAUGUUACUACUUAUCUUAACGGGUGAAAUUCAGUAACCCAAUGGACAUGGAAUUUUAUCCAACCAGAACAAUUUAACACAAGGGUGCUGGUCAGUUCCUAA
Molecule: RNA transcript, 1118 nt
Organism: Elaeis guineensis (African oil palm)
Lineage: Eukaryota; Viridiplantae; Streptophyta; Magnoliopsida; Arecales; Arecaceae
Source: RefSeq, a predicted model, not a curated record